This 71-nucleotide transfer RNA is filed under the name Camelus bactrianus (Bactrian camel). It matches the Rfam family "tRNA". From Rfam's summary of the family: Transfer RNA (tRNA) molecules are approximately 80 nucleotides in length. Their secondary structure includes four short double-helical elements and three loops (D, anti-codon, and T loops). Lineage: Eukaryota; Metazoa; Chordata; Mammalia; Artiodactyla; Camelidae. The record is from Rfam by way of RNAcentral. RNAcentral also lists the same sequence under 2 other names.
GUGGGUGUAGCUCAGUGGUGGAGCACAUGCUUGACUUCACAAAGUCCUGGGUUCAAUCCCCAGCACCUCUU